ACGUAGGACGCAAGCGUUAUCCGGAGUUACUGGGCGUAAAGGGCGGGCAGGCGGUCGAUGCAAGUGGGGUGUGAAAUCUCCCAGCUUAACUGGGAGAGGCCAUUCCAAACUGCUCGACUGGAGGGCAGUAGAGGUAGGCGGAAUUCCGGGUGUAGUGGUGAAAUGCGUAGAGAUCCGGAGGAACCCCAGAGGCGAAGGCGGCGCCCUGGCUCGCAACUGACGCUCAGACACGACAGCAUGGGGAGCGAACGGGA
Molecule: ribosomal RNA, 254 nt
Filed under: uncultured prokaryote
Description: partial 16S ribosomal RNA
Rfam family: Bacterial small subunit ribosomal RNA
Source: RNAcentral